CCCCUACACCAACCAUAAUAAUAAUAAUUAGUGGUAGUAGUAGUAAGAGUACUUUACAACAUUCAGCCCAAGUAAUUUAAAUUACAGAACAGUAUUACCUUAUUAGCAAACCAUGAAAUUUACACAGAAACAUAUAUGAAUUGUGCUACUCUCAGAAUUCAGAAGCCCAAAAAUGUUUAAAGUAAAUGCAUCCUCAUGGCUACCCUUAGAGUAAGAACAGUGUACCCUCAGAUAGUCAGAGAGGUGUUGCCUGACCAACGUCCUGAAAGAUGGAGCCUUCUAUCCCACGAGAUAUCAAAAUGCAGUUUUCCUGAAGAGAAACAAAGGACAGAAUUCAAUAAUGCUAAAUGGAUGACAUUCAGUAAUGCUAAUAUGAAAAAACAAAUAGGAGCCUUCCAUGGUAAAUUCAGAAAGGAGAUGGGAAAAGAGGUAUGUUGUUAAGGGGCCUUCAGAAACAAUGCCAUCUAAUCAUUCCUAAUUGGUUUUUUUGUUUGUUUUUUCCCGUUUUCUUUAAUACACAUGUAUUGACAGUUAAGGGAAAAUGUUCAAAUGAGAGUUUAGGGGUUUAGCUUUAAGGGCAAAUAAAAGCUUGUACAAAGUAUUUUUUACAUCAAAUGGUUUAGAAGAAGCCUUGAAUUUUAAUAACCAUAUCUACUAGCUUUUUUUUAACAUCUAAAUGAUUUCAACUUUAUAUAAAAAGAAAAAAACUUUGAGCAUAAAAAGGUACUAAAGGAAUUCUAUUUAGUUACAUGCUGUAAGAGUUUCUUUUUAGAAAAAGGUUUCACAUCUAUUGUACUAUAUUAGUAGUCUUAAAGUUCAUUAAAUGUAUUAACAAGUAAGUCAUGUCCACUUUGGGUUUUGCCAAUAGCAUAAACAUCUAAUUACUAAAAAAAAAAAAAACUGUUAUAAAAAUACAUCUUCCAAUAAAGAAGGAAAGUUCCUUGAUUAAAUAUGUAUGAAAUUAAUUUAAUCUUCUGCUUCAUAUCAGACCUAUCUUAUUUUUUAAGUUUCUUUAAAAUUGGGUUAUACAGGGCUGGGGCUGUAGCUCAAUGGUAGAACACUUGCCUUGCAUGCGUGAGGCACUUACAUGCGUGAGCACCACAUAAAGAUAAAUAAAUAAAGAUAUUGUGUCUAUCUACAACUAAAAAAAAGUAUUUAAAAAAAUAGGUUAUACAAUCCAUAUAUAUUGUCCAGAGUUCACUGGAGCAAAAAGUUAACAGUAUGGGGUCAUCAAGUAAAUUAAAUGUUAACAGCAAAAAUUAAAGGACUAAAUUAAAAACAUAGGGCCUUAAUCCUAUAUGAUGAAAAGAAGUAAGGAAAAAGUAUUCCCACAAGAGCUAUAAAGUGCUCACCUAUUUAAAAUAAAUUACUUCUUCAGAGCUGCCUUAAAAGGUUAAUUUGUUUUUAAACAUGUAAGCAUUUCUUAGCCAGCAGGGAAUGUGAUAUAUUUAUUUUCUUAUUUCCCCAUAGAUUUGUUCUGUAAGAAAUAAAUUUUAUAUAUUAAGAAUGUAGCAUAAGGCUUAACUAUCUUAUACAACUGGUCACAUAUCCUCAGUUAUAUUACUGAGAGACCUAGAGAGCCUCAAUUUUACUUCUGUUCAUUAAAAAUAAAUAAGAAAUGAAUGUUAAUACCUGAUUCCCUGUUCUCAACUUCCCAGAUAGGCUUAAUCCCAAGUCACUUACGUCUCAAAGGAAGUCAUGAGGUAUAUAUAAUUUUAUAAGUUUUGUUUUUGUUUUGGGAGGUUGGUUAGUUUGUUUUGUUUUGUUUUGGUUUGGUGUCAGGAAUUGAACCCAGGGUUGCUUAACCACUGAGCCACAUUCCCAGGCUUUUUAUUUUUUAAUUUGAGUCAGGGUCUUGCUAAGGUGCAUAGGGCCUUACUAAGUUGCUGAGGCUGACUUUGAGCUUGUGUUCCUCCUGCCUCAGCCUUCCAAAUCGCUGGGAUUAUAGGUGUGUGCCACCACACCCAACUACAAGUUGCUUUUAUUCAACAUAAAAUUUAACUGUUCAGUUUUCAUUUGAUAAGUUGCUAAGAGCAGAUCCAUUUCCAUUAUUAAUUAAUUCUUUUUAUUAUCUAAAAUUGCUCCCCAAAUAGAAGAAUUUUAAUAGGUAAGACAAAAAGUUAAUAUCAAGCUUUAGUAUACUUCAUGCCACAAUAUGAUAUAUGUCAUAUCAUCUGGAUGUCACUUUUACAAACUAGAACAUAACCAGGAUGUCACUUUUACAAACUAGAACAUAACCAGGAGAAGGAAGCCAAGAGGGUAAAGGGUUUAAAAUCAUAAAACAACUAAAAAAAUAAAAUAUUAAAGAAAACAUUAGAGUAUAUUUGGGGGGUUGGGAUUCAGAUGUCAUCAUGACUAGAAAUAACAAGUUAUAUUUAAAGAAUUAUCACAAAUAGGAAUAAAUUUGUUCUUAGUAGCUUCAGGAGACAUUUGGACUACGGGUGGGAAUAAGAAAGAGGCAUGUUUUCACUCCUAAUAUUAUAAGAUUCCAAACCUGAAUAGGCUAAAUACCCUUUAUUAAGCUCUUAUGAAGUUCACAUUAUUUUAAAAGCAUUGUUCCAAAACACUGGAUUCAUUUUAUCCAAGCCAGCAUUUUCAUACCAAUUUUAAAAAACUAGAUAACUUUAAACAAAUAGAUUUAUCCCUUUUCAGGUAUCAUUAUUGGUAGAGGGUAAGAAGUUUACACUUACUGUAAAUGACUUUCAGUUAAUUUGAUUUGUGGUCAGGAACAUGGAAGCAAGACAAAUCAUCCGGGGUGGGGGGGGGAAAUCUCAAAACAAGCCCAUAAUCUUAACAGAAUUAGAGUUUAAAAUGCUAUAUAGGAAUCUGCAUUUCUAAAAAUUGGAGUUAUAAAUUUCCCAAAAUGGAAGUACAUUCUCAGAUGCGUGUAUAAAUUUUUCACCAUGUAAAUAUCCUUUAAAAAAAGUAUUUGUAUUGAUCUUUCAUUAACAAGUCUAUCCAACUACAAAUAAAUAUGUUAAUAAACACUAUGUUCUCCUAAGCUAAUAAUUAAAGCAUAUACAUAUGUACCAUGAGUAACCUCUAAGGAAUAUAUUUUGUAAUUAUUAUCUUCAUGUGUCAGUUAUCUACAGUGAAAAGAAAUUAUCCAAGUUAUUUGGAAAAAAAAGAAAUUGUCAUUAUCUAAAAUAAAUCUCAAGUUUUUCAUUUUAAAAAGGAAAUGUAGAUGGGUAAAUCUGUAGGAAAAACUCAUAACAUUCCUACCAAUAAAUUUCAUUAAAUGUUGUAUAGAUAUAUAAUUUCAGUAAUAAACUAGAUGCUAUGUAUAUUAAAUACUUAUUGUCCAUCUUGAUGUCUGACACUUUAUAGAACUUUUUUUUAAUAUAUAUAUAUUUUUAGUUGUCAAUGGAUCUUUUAUUUUAUUUAUUUAUAUGUGGUGCUGAGGAUCGAACCCAGGGCCUUGCACAUGCUAGGCAAGUGCUCUACCACUGAGCCACCCCUUCCCCUAUAGAACUUUUUAAAAGAUUUUUUAAAGUACUUUUAUGAAUUUGUUAAACAAAAAAUACAGAAAAACACUUAGAUGUUAUUUUAUUUUAUUUAUAUUUUUAUGGACAUUAAUCCAUUCAAGAGGGGGAGCCUUCAUGACCUUUAGGUGGUAUCUUAAAAAGUAGAAUAUGCACUUAUUACUACUACAGCCACACACCAGUCCACAGAAAAUGGUUGUUUACAUACUGUAUUAGUGUCCUCUUGCUAUAAAAUUACCACAGAUUACUAUAAACUUAGUGGCUUAAAACAACAGAAAUUUAUUUUCUUAUAGUAUUGAAAGUCAGAAGUUCAAAAUGAGUCUUAGCUAGGGGCUGGGGUUGUUGGCUCAGUGGUAGAGCACUUGCCUCACAUGUGUGAGGCAUUGGGUCCAAUUCUCAAUACCGCAUAUAAAUAAAUAAAUAAAGGUCCAUCAACAACUAAAAAUAUAUAUUUAAAAAAAUGAGUCAGCUAAAAUUAAGGCAUAUGCAGAACUCUGAUCCUUUCUGAAGGAGACUUAGGAAAAGAAACUUUCUUAGGAAAAGAAGUUUUCUUGCCUUUUUCAGCUUCUGUAGAGCUUACAAGCUACCACUUGGCUCUUGGCCCCUUUCCACCCUCAAAGACAGCAAUGGCUAGUUGAGUUUAUUUCACAUCUCAUCACAGCUACUGACUUUUGCUUCCCUCUUUCACACUUAAAAGACCCUGUAAUUACAGUGGAUCUACUCAGAUAAUCAAGAUAAUCUAUUUGUAGGUAGAGUAGCAGCCUUAACUUCUGUUCUCAAUCUGAAUUCCCUCUUGCCAUGUAGCAUGACAUAUUCAGAUUCUAGAGUCUUGAACAUUUCCUGUAGGCCAUUAUUCUACCUACCAUAAUUAUGAUUAAUUUUUCCUUUAGUUUUCUUCAUGACCCAUAUGGACUCAUCUGUCUCUGAAACUGUAUGCAAAAUAUUCAAAUAUGCACAUUAUUCUAGAGAGAGAGUUCAUAACUUUCAACAAAAUUUCAAAGUUUAAGAAUCAUUGGAGCCAGGCCCAGUGGCACAUGCCUGAAAUCCCAGUGGCUCCCGAAGCUGAAACAGGAGGAUCAUGAGUUCAAAGCCAGCCUCAGCAAAAGUGAGGCACUAAGCAACUCAGUGAGACCCUGUCUCUAAAUAAAAUACAAAAUAGGGCUGGGGAUGUGGCUCAGUGGUUGAGUGGCUCUGAAUUUAAUCCCCAGUACCACCCUCCCCCAGAAAAAAAGAAUCAUUGGAUUCACUCAUAGAAUAUCAGUGUUUCUUAGAAGAACAGUUUGGCUAAUGCAACAUUAUAGAUAUGCUCUUUAACAUAUACAUUAAUAAUAACACCUUGAUAUGACUUGAAAGUUUUUUCUUGCAUUGUUCCUUGUUUUUUUAAGUAAUCAAAAUCAUCCAAAUUAUACUUUAUAUCUUGCAUUUAUAAGCAGUUUUCAUGUUACUGUGUAUCAUCUUUUAAUGAUGCUAAUAGUACAUGGAGUAUAUUUUCCACAAUUUAAAAUAGAUUCUUCCUACAAUUAGACAUUUCACUCCCCUUGUGCCUUUCUAUAUAACCCCAAUUUUUUGGCUAUUAUAUUUAAUGCUGGAAUGGGCAUAUUCCUGCCUAACCCCUACACAGGUCUUUCUCCAUAUUUUGGAUUUAUUUCACCUAAAUCAGAUUUCUAAAAUUAGAAUUUCUGGUAGGCAAGACUUGAAUAUUUUCAUAACCCUUUUACUUUCCACAAAAGCUGUUUUAUAUUACCACUAGUUCUUAUAAGAAUACCAUAAAUGUGAAGUGGUCCAGCUUUUUGUUAUUGUUUUUGUGUCUUUUUUCUUUUUGGUCUUUAAGGGUAGCCUUUCUGUAUAGAAAAUACUAUGCGGGGGUCACUUUUUUUUUUUUUUUUUUUUUGGCACUACUGAGGAUUGAACCUAAGGGUACUUUACCACUGAGCUACAACUCCAACUUCUUUUUUGGGGGGUAGGACAGUACUGGGGAUUGAAGUCAGGAACACCCAAACACUGAGCCACAUCCCCAGCCCUAUUUUGUAUUUUAUUUAGAGACAGGGUCUCACUGAGCUGCUUAGGGCCUCACCAUUGCUGAGGCUGGAUUUCAACUUGUUAUCCUCCUACCUCAGUCUCCAUAGCCACUGGGAUUACAGGCCUGUGCCACGUCACCCAGGUCCAACUCCUUUUUUAUCUUGAGACAGGGUCUCACUAAAUUGCCUAGACUGGUCUUGAACUUUCAAUCCUCCUGCCUUAGUUCUUGAAUAGAUGGGAUUACAAAUGUGUGUCACUAUGUUCAGCUUGGGGUCACUUAAUUUUUUUUUAAUAUUUUUGUAGUUUUUGAUAGACCUUUAUUUUAUUUAUUUAUAUGCGGUGCUGAGAAUCAAACCCAGUGCCUCACACAUGCCAGGCAAGUGCGCUAUUGCUGAGCCACAGCACCAACCCCGGGGUCACUUAAAUUUUGAUAAAAAUUAUGAACUAAAAAACUUGUCUUGGGCUGAGGAUGUGGCUCAGUGUAAAAGUACUUGCCUAGUAUGUGUGAAGCCCUGAGUUCAAUCCCCAGCACUGCCAAAAAAAAAAAAAAAAAAACCAAAAAAAAAACAAAAAAACCAAAAAAAAAAACAAAAAAACUUUUUUUUGGUACUAGGGAUUGAACCCAGGGUCACUUUAACCAUUGAGCCAAAUCCCUACCCCUUUUUUAAUUUUCAUUUUGAGAUAGGGUCCCACUAAGUUGCUUAGGGCCUCAGUAAAUUACUAAAGGUGGCUUGGAACUUGGGAUCCUCCUGCCUCAGCCUCCCCAAUACCUAGGACUACAGGCAUGUGCCAUCACUGCCUAGCUCUUUCCUUAGCUCUUAAAUUCAACUUGCAAAUUCGUCUAUUAUUUGUAAAUUUUAAUAAUAAGCGCUUCAAGAGGACUUUUUAUGUUUUUAAACUGCCUUAGACUGCAUUGACAAAUUCUAUUUUCUUAAGUACUUAAUGUUUGAUUAAUAAGCAAUAUCUCUGAGUACUUAAAUUCUAAAUCUAGUAUACUUUCAGAGAAUCUUAAAUUCUUUUAAAAGCCCAGAUAGUCUUCAUAAGCAUCAUUAAGAUUCUCUAUCUUUUAAGACUAAUCUGAUAAAUAUAUCCUAUGAUAGGUCCAGUUUUCUUAACCAUCAUAAUUUAACAUACACAGAUCAUUCCUAAGCCUAAUGCUAACAUGGUAAUAGUAUAGGCUACAAAAAUAAAGAGUAUAGAAUACAAAAUCAGUUCUGUAAUUUUAUAUAUUCCUUGGAUUAAAAACUAUAACCCCCUGGUAAAAACUGUCAUCCCAAGCAUGUUAGAAUUGCAUCACAGGCACUGAUUUACCUACCAUUCAGAGCUUCCCAAAUGGGAUGAUCUUGCCCACAUCUCUCAUAUUAAAAUUACAAAUAACCUAUUUUUUAAAAUUUAUUGCCAAGAUUGUAGGUAGCUUUCAUUACAACUUAGUUGGUUUUGUUUAUUUUUGGAUACUCAAUGGUCAACCAAUUGGAACCUUCACCUCUUUCGUUCUGUGACUUAGUUCUCUUAGUCUGCAAACUCUCAAGUCACACCAGCAAAUGGAAUCUAAUUAUUCAUGCCACAAAAGAAGCAAAUGUUUUAAAAAUAGAUAUGUAAGAAUUGUGUAAUCCAUCAAUCUUUUAUUAAUACAUGUUUUCAACUGUUAAUUUUUUUAAAAUAUUUAUUUUUUUAGUUGUAGUUGGACACAAUACCUUUAUUUAUUUUUAUUUAUUUAACUAUUUAUUUUUAUGUGGUUUUGGGGAUCAAACCCAGGGCCUCACCCAUGCUAGGCAAGCGUUCUACCGCUGAGCCACAACCCCAGCCCCUCAACUGUUAAUUUUUAAAAGUAAUUCAGUAACAAUGAGAUGAGAUGAUGAAAACUUUACAUAUCUCUUCUUUACAUUCAUUUUGAGAUUAUAUCUUUUUAAAUACUAAUUAAUUAUGGGUUUGAUUAUAAUUUAUUUUUCUUCUCAUUAACUAAAUACAAAGCCAUUCUUUUCUUUCUCACAGACUUAUCUCUUUAUAUAUUGAGGUUAUUUAACCUUUACCUGCAGUAUAUAUUGCAAAUAUAUUUUAGUUUCUUUUUAUUCAGGUAUCUUUUUAUUUAUAGUGAAACUUUUUUCUGUAUAUAUAUAUAUUACAAAUAUUUGGGGGGCCACCAAGUAAUGUUUACCAGGAUUCUGUGUGGAGCCUUUUCAAUCAUUCUACAUACAUUCCUCAGUGAUCUCAUUUACUAAACACAUCAUGUAAACUACCACCUAUAAUCAGUCAACUACUAAAUCUAUAGAUACCAUGUAAACUAGGCCUUUUCCCUAAAUUCCAAACUUCUAAUCUGAAACUCCAGUUUUCUUUAAGGUGGGAAUGUAAAGAUACACUUGGCCCACAAGCAUCUCAAAAUCAGUAUGUCACAUAUCAAAAUUAACCAAACUUUUCUUUUUUCUUCUCUCUUCUUUUUUGUACUGGGGAUUAAACUCAAUGAUGCUCUACAACUGAGCUACACCCCAGCCCUUUUUAUUUUUCAUUUUAAGACAGGAUCUCGCCAAAUUGCUUAGGGUGUUGCUAAAUAGCUGAGGCUGGCCUCAAACAUGCAGUCCUCCUACCUGUGACUCCCGAGUCACUGAGAUUACAGGCAUGCCCCAUAGUUCUAUUUUCUUUCUCUCUCAGUCAAUGUUACCAUCAGCCAACUAGCUCAGCUGCCCACAAUAGAAAUCUAGGAAUCAUGCUAUUAUACCAUAUCCAUAUUGAAAGGCUAUCCAUAUAGAAAGGGUCCUAAGCCUCUUUAGUCUUACCUCCAACUUUUUCCAUCCUUCCUUACUCUUUUCCAGCAAUAUAGAUAUUGAACUUACUGGCCUUUCCUGCUUAGGACAUUAACAUAUGGCCUCCUCCUUUGCCUGGGAUGUUCUUCCUCCCUUUUUGGCCAAGCCAAUUCCUCUUUGUCCUUUCAAGUCUGUGCUUAGCCAUCCCACUUUAAGAAGGCCUUAUUUAAAUAUCUAGUGUUAGGUGUAUGCUUUCACAGCAUCUUGUAUUUUUCUGUUACUUGUAAUUGGUAUUAUUAUUAAUUAAUUUAAUAUGUCUCUUUAAUGAGACUGGACCAUAGAGAAGAAACUAUGGCUGUUUUAUUCACCCCACAUUCUCAGUGCCUAGCAAAGACUACAGUGUACAGGCACAGAUUAGGUGCUAAAAGUUAACGUGAGAAUACUUACAUGAGUACUGAAUAAAUAAAUCCAAUCUCUUUUAUACCUCAUUUCAUUCACUUGCUACUUUUUCUAGUUCAUGUACUCAUUAUUUCUUGCCUGGAUACUAUAAUAGCUUCCAAAAGACUCCCUACCACCUCUCCCACAUUUUCUAAUCUAUUUGCUAAUAUCCUCAUUAAAUGAAUUCCUAAAAUACAAUCAAGUCAUAUCAUGGAUUGGUUUAAGAUUUUCUAGUUGCAUCAAUAUAAAGGUGGGUCAGAAAGCUCUUCAUGGUUUGACUUCUAUCCACUUGAGCAGGCUGAGCUUCCUCAAUUAUAGGCUAUACAUCACAGCAAACUACCUGAUUUUCUUAAACAUGCCAGGUUCUCUCUAUCUGCCCUUUUUCCUAACAUUCCAGUGAUUCUGCUUAAAAUGCUUUCUUUGGCCUACUUCUUUCUCUUCUAUAACUAGGAUAACUAAUUUCAAUCCUUUAAGGCUCUGCUGAGGUGUCCUUCAAGACACAGAACAACUGUCACCUCCUCUAUAAAAACUUCCUCUCGAGCUACCUAUUUCUAACCUGGGCUAAAUGGUCUUCCUUUAUAUUUGUUGAAGUAUAAUUUUUUAGAAAAAUCUUUCUUUCAUUAGACAUUCAGCUCCUUGCUAAAAGAAACUAUAUAUUUUCAUAUCUAUAUCUAAUUCUGGUAUGGACUUUGGUAAAUGUUUGAUUAAUUUUGCAUGGCAAGAUAUAUUAAAACCCAUAAACACAUACCAAUCUUUUGAGAAAGAAUAUUUGUACUUCUGGGAAAUCUUCCAAUCAUUUGAUAAGAAUCUAAAUUAAAAAAAAAGAUAUGCACAAAUGUUCACAUCAGAAUUAGUUAUGGUAGCAAAAAAUGGAAAAAAAACAGGAAUAGAAGAAUGGUAGAAUCUGCUGAAUGAUAUGUAGCACAGCAAUAUAAAUGAAGAUUGUGGAAAUGAUGUAAUUCAAAUAUUUGCUAUGUGAAAUGAAAAAAGGUUAAAAAAAUUAUGUCAUACUAUGAUUCUACAAAUUAAAUGAUUAGACAUUUACUAAAAGGGAACAUGAAAAAUGUAUGGAUUGUUAUUUCCUUUACUCAGAACUUUAUAUAUUAUUGAUAUAUCUUCUUAAUUGCAAUUAAAAUAAUUAAAAAUUAGCCUGGUACACUAACAAACACUGUAAUCCCAGUGACUUGGGAGGCUGAGGCAGGAGGAUCACAAGUUUAAGGCCAACCUGGCAACUUAGUGAUACCCUGUCUCAAAAUGAAUUUUUGUUUAAAAGGGAUAGGAUGUAGCUCAGUGAUAGAUACCCUUGCCUUCAAUUCCCUCUACCACAAGUAAAAUUAAUUAAUUUAAUCUGUGUCAUGAACUAAUUAUAUAUACUUGUAUAUGUAUAUUUGUAUGCAUGUACACAUACAUGUAUAUAUUUUUAGCUCUGUGUCCCAAAAGGUCCAAGAAGCAAAGACACCUCAGUAUAGCAAUGAACACACCUAGUUCUGGUCCCUAAUAUUAUUUUCCACUAACAGGAAACGGAACUCCUUAGAAAAAAGGCUAAUUCUAGGACCGAGGUAGGAUAAGUAUAAAAUAAAUGUAGAAUAUUUUUUAAUACCAGAAAGUAAGGAAGUGCUCUAAAAAAUGGUGUGGAUAUGUCAAAAAGUCAAAGGAGAAAGAACUUCUACUAGCUAAAUCUAAGAAAACUUGAACAUCAAAAUAACUAAACACACAGUUAUAUUAGAAUGAAAGACCAUGAUAUAGGUAUCUUACCCUCAAGUGGCUCAAAAACAUUUUUUGAUAUUAUAUCCCUAUACUCAUCAAAAUCUUCCAUUAUAUUUAGCAUGCAUUUAUAUUUAGCUGAGGCUGGCUUUGAACUUGUGAUCCUCCUGUCUCAGUCUCCUGAGCCACUAGGAUUAUAGGCUUGGGCCACGCAGCCAGCUCAAAAAAAUUUUGUACAUAAAUAUGCACAUAUAAACAGAGAUGGCACAAACAAGAAUAAGCAAACACAGAAAUGGGAAGACAUAGGAAUUCAUAAGUUCAUGUAGAUAAUAAAUAGGUAAAUAAAUAAAUAAAGAAGAACUCUACUUGCAAAUAGAAUGUCGUGGGCUGCAAAUGAGGAGGCAAUACUAAAAUUUGCUCAGUUAUUUUGUAACCAUCAUGGUAAAAUAUAUCAGCAAUAAUGGAUGCUAAAUAUUAUGGAAGAUUUUGAUGAGGAUCAGGAUAUAACAUCACAAAUCUCUCCCACAAAUUGCUUAUUUACUGCCAGUAAGUAAAAAAAAAAAAAAAAAAGUAACUACACAAUGAAAAAUUCAAAUCCCAUACUGAUGAAGUGAUCAAAAUUAAGAUCAUCACUGAAAGUCAGAUGGAUAUCAUGUGGUUCCAAAUGUGAUACUCAGAGAAGGAGACAAUAUUACCUAUGCAAUAGUCCAGAUGAGAAUGCAUAAUUUCAAUCCAGUCAUGAGGAAACAUCAAACACAAAAUGAGGAACAUUCAACUAAAAAGAGAGUAGAGGGAGAAGCUGAAUAUUAAGUUAAAUGUUCUAAAUAAGUUAAUUUUCUUCAAAUAUGUCAAGGUCAUAAAAGACAAUGAAUCAAAGGAUGAAAGUUUCAUAAAGAAAAGGAGGCUAAAGAGAUAUGACCACUGGGUGCAGAACCUGACAUAAGACUGGAUCCAGUAAAGGAGGGGGAUAUGCUAUAAAGGAUCAACUUAUCAAAUUGGAAUAUGGAUAAUAAAGUAUUGUUUCAGUGUAAAUUUAUGAAGGGGUGAGGGGCCAGAAUCUUAUAGCCUAAUGGAAAAUGGUUGAGGAAAAAAUGUGAUAUAAAAUUACAUAUAUAUGAAAAGAAAGAACUCACCCAUGUAUAAAAGCAAGCAAAUUAUAUAGAUUUUUAAAAUUAUUUUUAUUUUUGGAAAUUUUUUGAAAAUUUGAAAUUAUUACCAAUGUAAAAAGUUUAAAAAAUGAGUCCACUUCAGAGAAACAAGACCAACAUGAAAGUAAAAGGAACUUUAAAAAUUCUGCUAAACAGAUUGUUUUCAAAAUGCUCACUAGUAUGUAUUGUUUUCAAGUUAUUUUUCAGAAUGUUUUCUUCUUUUAUUUUUUAUUUAUAUAUGACUGUUUUCUUCUUUUAAGGGUAUCCAUUUUAAAAAAAAAAUGAACAGACUGGGCUGGGGUUGUGGUUCAGUGGUACAGUGCUUGCCUAGCAUGCAUGAGGCAUUGGGUUCAAUCCUCAGCACCACAUAAAAAUAAAAUAAAGAUAUUGUAUCCACCUAAAACUAAAAAAUAAAUAUUAAAAAAUGAACAGACCUACAGCUUUCACAGUUUUAUCCAAAUAAGUUAAUAUGUUGAAGCUAACAUUCCAUCAGUUGUAUUCUACUUAUUAGAAAAUAGUAGGGAGUGGGGAGUACAGAAAUUGAAGACUUCUAUUCUCCACACUACCCAUAUUUACCAUUCAUUUGCUGGUGAUUGCAAUCCAGUUUGCAGAAUUAAAGCCCCGGAUUUUAAACUAUGACUUCAGUUCUUAUGACAAGAAGCAUAUGCAGAGACACAAACUAAGAGGGCAGAAAGGGGUAGAGAAGAGAUGAUUGAUUAACUCUUACUGUAUUGAAGAAAGAAUGCUGAAAACUUAAGCUUACAGAGUUCUUUCUUCUCAUAAAGUAUAUAAUUUUUUGGAGUUUUAAAAUUCUGGGCAGAUAAUCCUUACUAAUUUUUUACCCAUGAGUUUAAUAGUCUGAAGUAAAAGGCUCCCCCCCUCCCUUUUUCCCCCCCUGUUGAGAUUUAACUCAGGAAUUUGCACCCCCUUGUGGUCAAACAUAAAAUUCUUAGCUUUGGAAAGAUCUUUUUUUUUUUCCAGUUGGACUUUUUGUUCAAGCACAGGAACUGUUGCUUUUGUUUCCUCCUAUUUUAGCAAAUCAAGAAGCUUUAGUGGAAGAUUUCUGGUUUAUUAAAUAAUAUUUUAAAUAAAAUAAGACUUAAAUAUGAAAGCCACCUCUACAAAAGGUGCAAAAUGGAGAUUCAAACUCAGGAAGUUUGGCUUCAGAUUUGAUCCACUUAAAUAGUUCAUAAAAGUGUCAGAGAGAUAUAAGACAAAUAUACUCUGCCAUGUUAAUUGUUGAUAAUUUGAAAAUGCUAAAAGCCAUUUCUUUUUCCAAUUAUACCUCAAUAAUACAAACCAUGCUAGCCUUCUCCCAUUUCCUUACAUCUUUGUACUUCAGAUAGUCAUACUCAUUAUCUUAUUCAACCCUGACAAUAAUGGGAUAUGUGUUUUUGUACUCGGUUAUAGUUCAUCUCGAAUUGUCUUACAACAAAAACUGGGACAAAAUAGUUAAUAUCCCAGAUUUUAGACUGCUGGAUUCCUUAGAAAAUCCAUUUUGGGAGCUGAGUACCAUAGCCCAGUACUGUAAUCCCAGCUACUUGUGAGGCUAAGCAAGAAGAUCCUAAAUUUGAGGCCAACCUGGACGAUAUGGUAGUCCCUGUCUCAAGAAAAAAAAAAAAUCAAUCCACUUUGUGAUUAAGGAAAAAGUAAGCAAUCAACAAUAAUCUUAAAAUACAAUCAUAAGAACAGUUAGUUGGUUUUGUUUCAUCUUAACCAGCUUGAUGUCAAGUAUGAUAAAUCUCCCAAGAAAAUGAUUAGAUGAGAUUUUUUUAAGGAAGGUAUUAAAAUAUUGACAAUUUUAGUAUCAUUUAUUGUCCUAUCAUAGCGUCCAGUUUUUGAAGAUGGACACAGGUUUGCAUGAGUCUUUACUUCUACUUAGUUGUAAGACUUUGGGGCAGAUUUCUUAAUAUAAGCGUAUGUCAUAAUCUGCAAAAUGAAGAUAAUAUCUACUUCAUAGGGCUGUUGUAAGCAAUAAAGGAGCUUAAUCCAGAAAGCGUUUUUUCAGCACAGUAAGGAGUACAGUCAAUACGUGGUGACUGUUACUACUUUUUUUUUUUUUCUGCGUUGCGUUGCACAACGGGAACCGUCUCUGCUGGAUUCAGUAAUUUACCACGCCAUUAUAUAAAUGACAUCCAAAGACUGCCCAUUCCUAUCUCCAAAACAGAACUGAAAGUCUAAGGACAAGUAAGGCGGUAAGAAAAACUGGAUUCGAUGAAAAUGGCUUAGUAACAAGCACCCUAGGACGGAGAAGGGCUCUAGCAAACUUAAGUAAUCAUUAACUCCAGGCUGGGGCGUGCGCGCGCACACACACACACACCACAAGGGACGGAAAACCACGCCUCCUGUGUACUCAGAUUGGAUCCUACAGUGCUAAGUGGCCCGAGUUCCAGAAUCUGACAGACGCGGACUCAGCCACGUGUUUGGUACCUGUGCUACCUCGGGCAGAUUAUUUAACGUUCCCAAUCAUUGGUUUCCUGGUCUUAGCCGAGAAUAAUAUCAGUUCCUACCUCGUAAGGCUGUCCCGAGGCUUAAGUGCAAUAGCUCUGAUAAAGCUCUGGCGUACUUCAAGAGCUCUACACAGCGACGGGGCUGUUUUAAGUACACGUGUAUCCAACACAUGAUCUCAAAAGGCACAUUCCGUUGUCCGUAGUUUAGCAAGACGUUUUUCUUUUAGCCUAAGCUGGACCCUAAUUUGUUUACCUCCAACGGUAGACUGACUGCCUGUCUCCUGACAAGCAUCUGUGGACUCUCGGGCCCACAGUAUGUAAGGUCACUCCAGUCCACCGCCGUACAAAGGCGCUGCACGCACGCGCAAGAAAAGCAGCAAGUGAACGGCAGCCGAGGAAGCUAAGUGUGAGCUGCGAACAACCGUGCGUCUGCGCAUGUACAAGGUGUGUGUAUGGGAGGGGAUGAGGGUAGGAGUUUACGCAUGCGCAAAUGUCGGGACAACAGGGGGGUUAGAGGUGGUAUUGACAGCUGUGGAGGCAGCCCGCGUUCCCGGCAUGCCCCGGGGCGGCGGGGUUGGCUCUAACGAAUUUGAAUGAAGAGCCUCAGCGCUUUCGGCGCCAUUUUCGAGUGAUGCCUGAUCUCAUCAAUCUAGCGGGAGAGACGGGAUAACCUGUCUGAGAGUAUAGUGCCACUGGCGCUCCGCUGAAAAACCACUAAAAAAAAAAACACCAAAAAUAACUUGGAGCAAAAGACAAUCCGCGAAGCUUCGCCAGGGUUGACGCAGUGGGUUUUGACCUUUAGGAGAGAGCCAAUUCUGGAAAACAAUCUAACUUCUUUGAUUGAAUACACACAUAAUGCUUUGGAACAUGAUAGGAGAUUAAGCUGGGAGCAAGGGCUAGGAGAUUGCUGCUGCCUGUCAGCUGUUCUACAGAAUAGCAUCAAUAUGCGGAAAUGAUCGUCAAAGAAGCCUGCACCCAUCAUUUUUUACAGGCCAGGUUUAAUAAUGACAAAAUGAAGACUACAAUAAAACAGCUCCCUACUAGCCCAGGAAUUCUUACCUUGUGAUCUCAUUUCUAAUCAAAGAAAACAAGUAUUCAGAUUGCCUGCAGCCCCUCAAGAGCCAAGAUAUGAUGCUUUGAAGAAGAAGAAGAAGAAGAAAAAAAGCCUGUAAGAAAUAAUUGAAAGGAAACAGGCUUAAAAAAUACAAGUUUACCCUAAACGAUUUAGGAAGUCUGUGGCUCUUACCAAAUCAGGUGUGAAUUUUGAUACCACAACUGCCCAAAAAAAGGUCCUAGUUACAUGUGACUUACGUGCCUGGUCUGCUGCCUUUUACCUGACUCCUAAAUCAUGAGUUGGACACAAUACCUUUAUUUCACUUAUUUAUUUUUAUGUGGUGCUGAGAAUCGAACCCAGGGUCUCAUGCGUGCAAGGUGAGUGCUCUACCACCGAGCCACAACCCCAGCCCCCAUAUUUCCCAUUUUUGUCCAUGUAAGGUUUAGCUUUUUGGGGGGUGGUGGGUAACUCUACAUUGAACCUCCAAGGGUGCUUAACCACUGUGCCACAUCCCCAGCCCUUUUUAUAUUUUAUUUAGAGACACAGUCUUGCUAAGUUGCUUAGGGCCUCACUAAGUUGAGGCUAGCUUUGAAUUUGUGAUCCUCCUUUUAGUCUCCCGAGCCACUGGAAUUACAGGCAUGCACCACUGUGCCUGGGUAGAUUUUAGCUCUUCAUCCAUUGAAAGAUUUUUGCAUUUGAUCAAUUUCAUAGUUUAGAUAAAUAUACUAAGGCAUUUUAAAUGAUGAAGUUUUUGAUGAAAUUUUUUAUAACUUUUCAUCUUUAGUAGGCCUAAUAGAAGGCCUAAAAUUUGUUGAAGUAUAAUUCUGUGGAAAAGCUGGUGGGCAAUUGUGUUUUUACUUGGUUGUUGCUAUUCCAGAAAUCCAAGUAUUUUUAGUACUAUAUUUUCAUCUCUUUAUAUCUUGACGUUUUGUUUAAAAACAGUAAAUUCAGUGCCAUAUUGAUCUCUUCAGUGUUAGGAAGGUAAUAAAAUUUUCUAAAUUUCUUUUUGAAAAUUUCCUCCUAGUAGAUUUUACAUUAUGAAACUUGAUGCUACAAUCAAUUUCCUCAGCAAACAGGAGGUUUAGAAUGCUCUUAGCAAAUCUGUUGUUACUCCACCACAGUCUCUGAUACAGGGUCUCACUGAGUUGCUUCACACCUCACCGUUGUUGAGGGCUGGCUUUGAACUCGCAAGCCUCCUGCCU
Long non-coding RNA from Marmota monax (woodchuck), 16235 nucleotides. RefSeq lists it as uncharacterized. NCBI's taxonomy places the organism in Eukaryota, Metazoa, Chordata, Mammalia, Rodentia, Sciuridae. The transcript has 9 exons. The record is from RefSeq and is a predicted model, not a curated record.